Tupaia belangeri chinensis (Chinese tree shrew) is the source of this 1317-nucleotide non-coding RNA. Lineage: Eukaryota; Metazoa; Chordata; Mammalia; Scandentia; Tupaiidae. The record is from the annotation of a RefSeq genome assembly.
GUCCCAGUGCCAACUCACUGCCUUCGGCCUAGGGAUCCCUUCCUUUAGAAGCAGACUUGAGUGGUGAGCAGGUGUUCUGCUCUUUUAUCAUCUGGGUUCUCUCCUCUAAGGUCCCAGAGGGGAGGAUGCAGUGGGCUCUAGCCCUACUUUUCGUUUUCCUGCCUCCAGCCAGUCAAGCGUCUUCCAACUUAGAAAGGAGAAUAUUGGCAGUUACUGGGAAGACUGGAUCAUCUGCUGAAAUCUCUUGUGAUUUUCUCCAACUAAGUCCCACCUACGUCCACUGGUACCAGUUCCAGGAGGGGAAGCCCCCAAGACGCUUCCUCUACUACGACUAUUACAGAUCCAGCAUGGUGGUGGACUCAGGAAUCAGUCCAGCGAAAUACCAUGCUUAUGCGAUCACGAGAAGUAGCUUCAUGCUCGUUAUUAGACGUGCCGAAGAACGCGAUUCUGGUGUGUACUACUGUGCUGCUUGGGAGAGGCACAGCUGGAUCAAGAUCUUUGCAGAGGGGACAAAGCUCAUAGUAACUUCUCCAGACAAAACCUCUAAUAUGGACCUCUCCCCCAAGCCCACGACGUUUCUUCCUUCAGUUGCUGAGACAAACCUCCAUGACGCUGGAACGUAUCUUUGUCUUCUUGAGAAUUUUUUCCCCGAUGUGAUUUAUGUACAUUGGAAAGAAAAGAAUGGCAAAACGGUCCUAGAAUCCCAGCAGGGAGAUACCAUGCAGACCAAUGACACGUACAUGAAAUUUAGCUGGCUGACUGUGACUGGGAAGUCACUGUAUAAAGAACACCAGUGCAUCGUCAAACAUGAGAACAAUAAAAGAAGUAUUGAUCAAGAGAUUCUCUUUCCUCCAAUAAGGAAAGGUGUUAUCACUAUCGAUUCUGAAGAAACUUGUUUGAAAGAUAAAAGUGAUGCACUGCAGCUGCAGCUCACCAACGCCUCCGCGUACUACACCUACCUCCUCCUGCUCCUCAAGAGUGCGGCCUACUCUGCCAUUGUCGCCAUCUGUCUGUUCAGAAGAGCAGCUGUCUGUGGCACUGGAAAGAAUUCUUAGCAGACAGGCAAAAAGGGGUCCUCCUUUCAUCACUGUGUAUCAGCCCUAACAGGGUCCACUGGGGACCUUGCUGGGCUUUCGCUCUGCAUUUGGGCUCUUUCAGUUUCCCUGUGUACUAUUAUUCUCUCAUGUAGUUAUAGUAUAGUGGGUUUCCUAACAGGGGGCAAACUGAGGAGACCUCACUCUGUAACAAUAACAAGGAGCAGCCCACGGCAGCCUGACACCACCCUCUGCGUCCCCUCCAUCAACUGUGUCGCCCUAG